AAAUUUUCUGGGUCCAAUCCAAUUAGCUUUUGGAAGUUGCCUCUUGUGUUACAUCUGACACUUGCAUAUCCAGACUUGCCAUAAUGAUUGCAAACACCCUUAAUAUUUUCAUAAAAGCUCUUUUUGUCUCUUUCUUGAUUUUCAUAUCUACCUUAAACUAGACUUGUCAAAUGCAUGUCUAAAUGAUGAAAACAAAGAGUUUAGAACUUUAGAGCUCUUAAAAAAAAUUUAAAAAC
Molecule: long non-coding RNA, 236 nt
Filed under: Phaseolus vulgaris (common bean)
Lineage: Eukaryota; Viridiplantae; Streptophyta; Magnoliopsida; Fabales; Fabaceae
Description: long non-coding RNA (PVUL_LNC004891)
Source: RNAcentral